This 308-nucleotide unclassified non-coding RNA is filed under the name uncultured fungus. Its description in RNAcentral is "sequence contains ITS1". The stretch from base 1 to 105 matches the Rfam family "5.8S ribosomal RNA", at positions 50 to 154 of the family's 154-position model. Lineage: Eukaryota; Fungi. The record is from RNAcentral.
GAAAUGCAAUAAGUAAUGCGAUUUGCAGAAUUCCGUGAGUCAUCGAAUCUUUGAACGCACAUUGCGCCCUUUGGUAUUCCGAAGGGCAUGCCUGUUCGAGCGUCAUUAUCAACCCUCAAGCCUGGCUUGUUGUUGGACCCGGGACCCUUUUCAGGGUUCACCGGUCUCAAAGACAAUGACGGCGUCCGUGAGACCCUCGGUACAAUGAGCUUUCUGAGCACGUACCGCAGUGGGCUGGCGGACCCGGUCCUCCUUUUUCAAUUUCUAAGGUUGACCUCGGAUCAGGUAGGAAUACCCGCUGAACUUAA